RNAcentral lists this ribosomal RNA (253 nucleotides) under uncultured prokaryote. RNAcentral's name for it is "partial 16S ribosomal RNA". It matches the Rfam family "Bacterial small subunit ribosomal RNA", at positions 524 to 776 of the family's 1533-position model. The record is from RNAcentral.
UACGUAGGUGGCAAGCGUUGUCCGGAAUUACUGGGUGUAAAGGGAGCGCAGGCGGGGAGACAAGUCCGCUGUGAAAACUAUGGGCUUAACCCAUAGACGGCAGUGGAAACUGUAUCUCUUGAGUGGAGUAGAGGCAGGCGGAAUUCCGAGUGUAGCGGUGAAAUGCGUAGAUAUUCGGAGGAACACCAGUGGCGAAGGCGGCCUGCUGGGCUCUAACUGACGCUGAGGCUCGAAAGUGUGGGGAGCAAACAGG